AGAGUUUGAUCCUGGCUCAGGAUGAACGCUGGCGGCGUGCUUAACACAUGCAAGUCGAACGAACCUUCGGGUUAGUGGCGGACGGGUGAGUAACGCGUGAGAAUCUGCCCUCAGGAGGGGGAUAACGGCUGGAAACGGCCGCUAAUACCCCAUAUGCCGAGAGGUGAAAUGAAUUUCGCCUGAGGAUGAGCUCGCGUCUGAUUAGCUAGUUGGUGUGGUAAAGGCUCACAAAGGCAUCGAUCAGUAGCUGGUCUGAGAGGAUGAUCAGCCACACUGGGACUGAGACACGGCCCAGACUCCUACGGGAGGCAGCAGUGGGGAAUUUUCCGCAAUGGGCGCAAGCCUGACGGAGCAACGCCGCGUGAGGGAUGAAGGCCUUUGGGCUGUAAACCUCUUUUAUCAAGGAAGAAGAUCUGACGGUACCUGAUGAAUAAGCCACGGCUAAUUCCGUGCCAGCAGCCGCGGUAAUACGGGAGUGGCAAGCGUUAUCCGGAAUUAUUGGGCGUAAAGCGUCCGCAGGCGGUCUUGAAAGUCUGUUGUUAAAGCGUGGAGCUCAACUCCAUUUCAGCAAUGGAAACUAGAAGACUAGAGUGUGGUAGGGGCAGAGGGAAUUCCCGGUGUAGCGGUGAAAUGCGUAGAUAUCGGGAAGAACACCAGUGGCGAAGGCGCUCUGCUGGGCCAUAACUGACGCUCAUGGACGAAAGCCAGGGGAGCGAAAGGGAUUAGAUACCCCUGUAGUCCUGGCCGUAAACGAUGAACACUAGGUGUCGGGGGAAUCGACCCCCUCGGUGUCGUAGCCAACGCGUUAAGUGUUCCGCCUGGGGAGUACGCACGCAAGUGUGAAACUCAAAGGAAUUGACGGGGGCCCGCACAAGCGGUGGAGUAUGUGGUUUAAUUCGAUGCAACGCGAAGAACCUUACCAGGGUUUGACAUCCUGCGAAUCCCUUGGAAACUUGGGAGUGCCUUCGGGAGCGCAGUGACAGGUGGUGCAUGGCUGUUGUCAGCUCGUGUCGUGAGAUGUUGGGUUAAGUCCCGCAACGAGCGCAACCCACGUCUUUAGUUGCCAGCAUUAAGUUGGGCACUCUAGAGAGACUGCUGGUGAUAAACCGGAGGAAGGUGUGGAUGACGUCAAGUCAUCAUGCCCCUUACAUCCUGGGCUACACACGUACUACAAUGCUACGGACAAAGGGCAGCAAACUCGCGAGAGCUAGCAAAUCCCAUAAACCGUGGCUCAGUUCAGAUCGUAGGCUGCAACUCGCCUACGUGAAGGAGGAAUCGCUAGUAAUCGCAGGUCAGCAUACUGCGGUGAAUACGUUCCC
This 1319-nucleotide ribosomal RNA is filed under the name metagenome. RNAcentral describes it as "bacterial SSU rRNA". It matches the Rfam family "Bacterial small subunit ribosomal RNA", at positions 8 to 1375 of the family's 1533-position model. The record is from RNAcentral.